GCGGAUAAGAAAUGAGGAGGAAAGCGCAUCCCCUUCUUUCAUAGUUUGUGGAUGCCCAAAAUAUUAAUUUGCUUCUUGUGCUGUUGUGUCUUAGAAAUAUGGCUUCAGCUGUAUUGUGGGCCAUCACUUCUCUUUAAGAACACAACAGGCAUGCCACUGCGAAUAAAUAAAUUUGCGCGAAUUACGGAGCUACGCUUUAUUAUUAUAGAGAAAAAAAUUGUGAAAGAGAAGAAAAACAGAUCCGUCCAGGAGUAGUUACUUGCUCAGGGUAAUCAGAUCCAAUGGUGGAAAAGGAGCAAUAAAAUCGUUAGCAAUUGACCAUGUCAAAACGGGCAAGGUGGGUAACUGACCACUCUUUCGGUUUCAGAGGCCGAAACGCAAGCAAAUUCCCUCGCCUUUUCUAAAGCCCAAAUCUGUUGAAGCCUCAAACUUCCUAACAUCUCAAACAAACCCAAGCAUUUGGAAAAAUUUUUUCUUUAAUUUUCUAAGUUAAAGCUGUAGCCUCUAUCCUCUGCUUUAAUAGGAUCUCAUACUUCCCACGUCUGUGUGAUCUCUCUACUUAGAUUCAGGCAACUCUUGAACUUGAAUUGAGGGCUGUUUUUAUUGAUUUUUAUUUUUAUUUUUUAAAGGGAAUUGAGUUAUUGAUAAAAUAAUAAUGAUGGAGAGAGCAGAGUCGGGGCAGAAGCUAUAUACACGUAUGCG
Molecule: unclassified non-coding RNA, 702 nt
Filed under: Hevea brasiliensis (rubber tree)
Lineage: Eukaryota; Viridiplantae; Streptophyta; Magnoliopsida; Malpighiales; Euphorbiaceae
Source: RNAcentral